UGAAAAGAGACAACUGACAUGAGUAAAAAUAAAUGGAUGAACAUGCUCAUCUUAAAAAACAUCCGAUCAAGAAAAGAAAUUUUCAACAUCCUACUGUUGGCAGGCAGAGCAGUGUGCCAACUACCAAAGCAACAAAAUGAAAAAUUAAACAACUGUUGCUGAAAAUUAAAAUAUCGAAGUCUAAACAUGUAUUGUCAUGGACUACAGAAAGGUACCAAGUAAACCUCUGCAAAGGCCCCAGGGAUAUACAAGUAAACAAACAAGACGCAUUGGCAGUCCGUAAUGGUACCCUCUAUGUAAGUCUACCUGAUUGUCACAAACUUGUUGGUACCAUGUUUGGCCCAGUGAGUCCUCAGAUCAAUUGGAUUAGCAAAAUUGUAUCCUUCUGCAGCAAGUUUCUCCAGAACCUUCUUGAAUGCUCCCUGGCUCAUCUUUCUUCCAGCAAUCCUUGCUCCACGUCUUUUAGUACUCAUUGGAAGUGGAUACAUUGAUAUGCUAGUGGUGCAACAAGCUGACUGCCAGCCACCACAUCCCCAUCGAUAGCAUUGCUGAGGAGAACCGGUACAGGAACAAACUGGUAUAGGAAUGACAGAAAUGUCCAUAUCAAUACCAUUUAAUACAAUGUCCAUGCUCUUCUUUGCUGGUUUUGCUCGUUGAGAGGGGUUGCCAUUUUCCUUGGGUGCAGAUGACACUUUCUUUGACUUCUUUGCUUUGGGAGCUUUGGGAGUGGCACCACCAGUCUUUCUCUUUGAAGGACCACUUUCUUUCUUAACACUUGGUUCCUCAACAUUCACCCCCACAUCCUUAGUUGUAUCAGGUUGUUGUACCAUUUGCAUGGGAGUACUUGCAGAAGCAUCAGGGAGAACUGAAGUGUAAGGACUCCCAGGAAACAUAUGAAGAAAUUUGUCUCUGUGAUUUAUCCAACUGUCCCUUACAUAGUCAAUGUGAGAUAAAGGUGCUUCUGGGAUGAUAGAAUCCCGGGAAUGGAACACCCCAUUAGCAC
This 1003-nucleotide unclassified non-coding RNA is filed under the name Hevea brasiliensis (rubber tree). Lineage: Eukaryota; Viridiplantae; Streptophyta; Magnoliopsida; Malpighiales; Euphorbiaceae. The record is from RNAcentral.